GGUGACGGGUCCCCCCGCAAGGGGGAUUAAACCACAGGGCCGGUCCGAAGUCCGG
This 55-nucleotide non-coding RNA is filed under the name unclassified sequences. The record is from RNAcentral.